RNAcentral lists this unclassified non-coding RNA (238 nucleotides) under Hevea brasiliensis (rubber tree). Lineage: Eukaryota; Viridiplantae; Streptophyta; Magnoliopsida; Malpighiales; Euphorbiaceae. The record is from RNAcentral.
GCAAAUAACCAUUAUUCUCACAAUGAAUACCACAUCCAAAAACCUUGUCGGUUUCUAAAGGUUAUCUGUGUAAUAUACAAACAACGAAAUGGAACCACCUUUCAAGUUGGCACAUUAUAACAUGACAUUUCUCCGAUCAAAAAUUAAGGCUAUCUAACGUCACCAUGUAAACUAUAUAGCAAUCAAUGCAUGCGUAAAGCAAUACAAAAUGCUAAGUCUAGAGCAACCUGCAGUCCCU